GAACUUAAGCAUAUCAAUAAGCGGAGGAAAAGAAACCAACAGGGAUUGCCCUAGUAACGGCGAGUGAAGCGGCAACAGCUCAAAUUUGAAAUCUGGCCUUCGGGUCCGAGUUGUAAUUUGUAGAGGAUGCUUUUGGUGCGGUACCUCCCAAGUUCCCUGGAACGGGACGCCUUAGAGGGUGAGAGCCCCGUACGGUUGGAUACCAAUCCUUUGUAAAGCUCCUUCGACGAGUCGAGUAGUUUGGGAAUGCUGCUCAAAAUGGGAGGUAAACUUCUCCUAAAGCUAAAUACCGGCCAGAGACCGAUAGCGCACAAGUAGAGUGAUCGAAAGAUGAAAAGCACUUUGAAAAGAGGGUUAAAUAGUACGUGAAAUUGUUAAAGGGGAAGCGUUUACGACCAGACUUUUUCCAGGCGGAUCAUCCGGUGUUCUCACCGGUGCACUUCGCCUGGUUGAGGCCAGCAUCGGUUUUUGUAGGGGGAUAAAAGCUUGGGGAAUGUAGCUCCUCCGGGAGUGUUAUAGCCCCUUGUAUAAUACCCCUAUAGGGACCGAGGUACGCGCUCUGCAAGGAUGCUGGCGUAAUGGUCGUCAACGACCCGUCUUGAAACACGGACCAAGGAGUCAAACAUUUGUGCGAGUGUUUGGGUGUUAAACCCUCACGCGUAAUGAAAGUGAACGGAGGUCAGAGCCGAUAGGUGCAUGAUCGACCGAUCCUGAUGUUUUCGGAUGGAUUUGAGUAAGAGCAUAACUGUUCGGACCCGAAA
Molecule: ribosomal RNA, 761 nt
Filed under: uncultured fungus
Lineage: Eukaryota; Fungi
Description: eukaryotic LSU rRNA
Rfam family: Eukaryotic large subunit ribosomal RNA
Source: RNAcentral